CGAGCACGCGCGUGUGGCAUAUCAAUAAGCGGAGGAAAAGAAACUAACAAGGAUUCCCUUAGUAACGGCGAGUGAAGCGGGAAGAGCUCAAAUUUGAAAUCUUCAAGGUUCUACCUUGACGAAUUGUAGUUUAUAGAAGUGUUUUCUGUUAGUGGAGUGGUAAAAGUUCUUUGGAAUAGGACAUCAUAGAGGGUGAGAAUCCCGUAUUUGGAUCACUUUCUACUAGCGUCGUGAUACACUUUCAAAGAGUCGGAUUGUUUGGGAAUGCAGUCCAAAAUGGGUGGUAAAUUUCAUCUAAAGCUAAAUAUUGGCGAGAGACCGAUAGCGUAACAAGUACCGUGAGGGAAAGAUGAAAAGAACUUUGAAAAGAGAGUUAAACAGUACGUGAAAUUGUCAAAAGGGAAGCGUUUGACACCAGUGUUGUUUUUCCGAAAAUCAAUUACGAAUGUUUUAUUUUUGAGGAGUUAUGACUUCAUCGGCUUGCUCCUUUCUUUACGAAACUUUCUUAAUGCACUUUUCGGUUAACAAGUCAACAUCAAUUUCUUUUGUUGUAAAAGGGUAUGAGGAAGGUGGCUUUCUUUUCGGAGAAAGUGUUUAUAGCCUUGUGCCUCUGCAAUCGGAGAGAUUGAGGUCUGCAGCGUAGAUCCUUCGGGGUUAGAUACGUUUGUGCUAAGUUAUAGCUUUUCAUAGACAACUUGUUGACUAUGUUUAGUCUUGUAGCUUACUCGCUGACGCUAUUUUACCUACGCUUAGGAUGUUGAUGUGAUACUGCGAGCA
Molecule: ribosomal RNA, 777 nt
Filed under: uncultured Neocallimastigales
Lineage: Eukaryota; Fungi; Neocallimastigomycota; Neocallimastigomycetes; Neocallimastigales
Description: partial large subunit ribosomal RNA
Rfam family: Eukaryotic large subunit ribosomal RNA
Source: RNAcentral